CCUCCAAGAUGCUCACUCUAAACGAACAUCAAUAAUAUGGAUGCCACACCAGUAGGCAAGUAUGUUCUUUUCUAUGAACUCUAGACUGAUAUUUUAGUUUUCAAGCACCACAGAAAAACUUUUUAAAAACGUUAGCCACUUAGUGCAUGUGCUAAGCAGAUUUUAAAAGAGGCCCUACCUCUACAAGGAGAGUCAGGUAUGCGUUUAAAGCCAUUUCAUGAAAUAUGGUUGCUAACCUCUGGGUUUUCUGGGGAGAUCUGAGAUUAAACACGGAGCCAACCUGUGCUGUACUAACAACAGGCAACCCAUCCAAACGGCACGGACACCUACAGGUUUCUGCAAAAGCCUUAACAGAACUACAUUUGGGCAUCGGGCUGGCGGCUCACCCUAAAUGUCCCACCAACGGCAAGAGCCAGCAACCUUUCUAUUUCAAUGCAAUUAUGGUCAGAAAUUAUAGGAUAUUAAAAAAAAAAACAGGUUCUUCCAUAAAGUUUAAGAUUUAGGGUAGAAUUAAGGAAAGACCAAAAAAUAAAAUUCCUAUGAAACAAAAAUAAUUCUACAGCGGUCUUGUUCUCCACGAAACCCUGAGAUGAACUGCAGUCCUCAAACGCCGACGCUCGGAUCUCGGUUCGCUGGGACACUUCAGUAUGCUUCAAACUGGCUCAUCAUCAACUUCCUGCUGUACUCAUAGGCCAAAAAUAGCGCCCCGUUGGCAGGGAAUGCUCGAAUCAAAGUGGGUUUCAGUCCAGAAUAUAAGGCCGUUAUUCCUAGAAGAUAAAAAGUGAUCAAAGACUCAGACAUCACGUGACACUGCGGAGCCGGGACUGGAUGCCUACAAAUCCAGACAAUGCACUACAAACCAGUACGUGAUGGCAGAGCUUCCUUCCAGGUUUCCCUGGACUAACGGGAACUAAGCAAGAACUAAACGGAAACAAGGACCAGCAUCACGUCUCCCAGCAAAGCUGGGGGAUGCUCAGACAUGGAGAGAACUUGAAUUCUGGAUUUGACGCAAUCCACUGGGUAAACAGCCAGCCAGAGGCAGAUUCCACCAACUCCACCGCUUAACAUCAAAGGGACAGGCCCUAAGCAAGGAAAUCAGCAAAGAGCAUUUUGCCUCCAGAACAGCAUUUCCAGAGUGAAAUCACAAUUAAGGAGCUGUACGAACCCAGCAAGAAUACAACGGUGUUGUACUGGCCCAGGCUUGGACCUCCCUCAAUUCCUCCCUCCCCAUCCUUUCUUUU
Suricata suricatta (meerkat) is the source of this 1241-nucleotide long non-coding RNA. RefSeq lists it as uncharacterized. NCBI's taxonomy places the organism in Eukaryota, Metazoa, Chordata, Mammalia, Carnivora, Herpestidae. The transcript has 3 exons. The record is from RefSeq and is a predicted model, not a curated record.